Ostrea edulis (European flat oyster) is the source of this 2567-nucleotide long non-coding RNA. RefSeq lists it as uncharacterized. Lineage: Eukaryota; Metazoa; Mollusca; Bivalvia; Ostreida; Ostreidae. The record is from RefSeq and is a predicted model, not a curated record. The transcript is spliced from 4 exons.
UUUAUUCCCCAUCUUUUAAAUUGCAAAGUGGGAUACAUUGGCGAAUAUUGUGAUAUCAGAUGUCAGUAUCCUUACUAUGGAAUGCGAUGUCAGAUGAAGUGCAGUCCUAGUCACAGUAAAGACCAGUACGAUUUCAAAACAGGCUGUGUUCAAAAGGAAAUAAUGUCUCCUUCACCAACUAUGAAUUACUUUACGGAACUCCGACGAGAAGAUUCAGAUGAAUCUACAAUGAACCCACUAAGUAUGUCUAAUCAUAAUUUGAAAUGCAUGUUCUCAAUUUGGAAAGUUGUGUGAAUUUAUAAUUUCAUGUAUACAACAGGAUAUUUUUUCUACACAUGGAUGCAUAUGCUGUUGGAAGACUCAGAGUGAAGUCAUUCCAUAUUCUAACAGAAGAAAACGAAACUGUUCAUAUAGGAACUUGAUCUGCACUGGGGAAAUAUUACUGUAGAUUAUGAUGAAGAGGUGACGACAACGAACAUUGAUCAAAUAUCAUGAUUCCUAUAAAGAAUACAAAAUUAAGAGUGGGCAAUAAUGGGCUCCUGGAUACACCAGAUGUGGGAUCAGGUACAGGAAGAGUAAUCAUCCCCUUUUAACUAGCUCUACCCAUUGUGAGCCCAUAACCUCUAGUAGAAAUCAGAGUGAAAACAGCGGCCUAGCAAUUAGUAUGAAUCAAGUUAGACAGUAUCUAACCCAAUGACAUUGGUAAAUAUUGAACUCAAUAUUGAAAUUGAGGAGGGAUGCAUAAUUUUAAAAUAUUCGGAAGAUAAUGAGAUGCUAUUUCAAAUAUUUUUUUUUAAUAAAUGAAAUGUAAGCUUAGGAAGUUUUUACUGAUGUAUAGGUUUAAUUAUUUUGUAUAUGUGCACAUUAUAUUCUUAAAAUGCAUGCUUCACCUUUAAACACAUUUAAUAUUCCAGUUGUUCGGAUUUAUUGAUGGGAGUUGUCGUAUCUACAAAUGUAUACUGGUUUCCUAAAUUUUACGUAAACUCUUACAAACAUAGAUGUAUCCAAUAAAUGUUCUACAAAGCCUCUAUCUUUGCUCCUCACGGAAAUAUUAGCUGUUAUAAGGGUGAAAACCAGAAGUGGUGCAAUUCGCUUCAAGAUCCAGGGACCGUCGAGUGAGCUAAAAAAAAAUACCAAACUUUUCGCUUUACGAUGUUUACAAUUAUUUUUUUUUUAUAUAAAACAACAAUAUAUGGCCAGAGGACAUUGGAAGCAUACAUUACAAAUCUUGUGAAGAUUACAGAUUUUUAUUCGAUAGCUAUGUUUAGCAGCUGGAAAUGGAAGAACUUGUGGAUCCUGUGUGAAGCCAACGCAGACAGAGAAGACUUACCUACAUAUGUAAAUAAAACAGCUAAUGGUGUUUGGGUUCUCAUGAGUAAACUUGGAAAUGUAAAAUGUGCUUACUGCACAUCCAUUGGUGGCUCUGCACAUGCUGUUACAAGUAACAAGUCAAGUAUAAACUGGUAUAUAAACUUAGCUAACGGAAUAAUCGAAAAAAGCAUAAAGACAGGAACUGGUUUAAUAUGACUAGUAAGUUUUAUUCCAAGAUGUUUGAUGUUGUCAUGAAUUGAUUGAUUGUUGACAGAUUGUAGAUUAUUUGAUUAAAUGAACAUUUGACACAAAAGAUACAGGUAGGACGCGAUGCAUAAUUAUAAGGCUAUUAUAUCUGUUCUCUGAGUGUUAAAUUUGAAUGCAUUUAUGUUUUCUUUUAACAUGUUCAAAUAAGUUUUAUGUAACCCAUGGGUAACCAGUUUUUAAAAGAAAUGUUGAUUCAGAAAUAAUAAUGAUGUAGACCCACCUGCAACGGUUACAGUUUGCCAGAGAUUAAUUUUCCAAAUGGAGCAAAUUAUUUUACUACUGACAAAACUUUCAACUACAGGUAAUGCAGGUGUGGAAUAUCCCCAGUCUGAUGCACAUAAGUUUGACCCUCGCAGUGUCGAUCAGAGAGAGGGUUCCUCGUGAAUGGAAAUCAGUGAAAAGGCAAGGAGUCUUCGAGAGAUAUCCCCAAAUCUACAGUCCCUUGAUAUGCUGGAGGUACAAAAACCUGUGCAGAAUGACAAGGGAGGUGACUGUGAUCAACCGUAUCCAAAAUGUACUGCUUUUACCUGACCAUACAUGUUGAAGAAAAUUAUAUCUAGCACUGCAAAUAAACCUGUGAAUUUAUGUAUCAUUUCCAAUGACAAUAUUGCACACGUUGAAGCAUGCAAGAGUGAGCAAUAUGACAGCAAGAUUUGGUACGAAUUCAGGAAAGGCAGAUUGACUGCACCCGAGUUUAAUAAAGUCUGCAAAUCAGUUGAUGGAAACAAAAUGUCCACCUUCACUUCUUAGAAUUAUUUUAGGUAAAUGUGUUGCUUGUGCGGAUUUUAGUCCAGAGUUUUUUGAAAGGAUCCUUAGCAAAUUUGAAUAAUUUUCCAUGCAUCAUGUGAAAAAGUGACUAUCUUUAAUGCAACAGUAAAUGCUGAUGUGCCUACACAAUUAGAUCACAUUGAAGUUUGAUCAGAUAUAGCGUUGUUGUAGCAUCCAAGGUUUAGUGUAAAUAUCUAUAAUUCAAACAGUUACAUUGCAUA